This 192-nucleotide unclassified non-coding RNA is filed under the name uncultured Russula. RNAcentral's name for it is "sequence contains ITS1". The record is from RNAcentral. Lineage: Eukaryota; Fungi; Basidiomycota; Agaricomycetes; Russulales; Russulaceae.
UCGUACAACCGAGGUGCAAGGGCUGUCGCUGACCCUUCAAAGGUCGUGCACGCCCGAGCGCUCUCACCACAAUCCAUCUCACCCCUUUUGUGCAUCACCGCGUGGGUCCCCCCUUUGCGGGAGGGCUCGCGUUUUCACAUAAAACUUGAUACAGUCUAGAAUGUUUAUUUUUGCGGUCACACGCAAUCAAUA